ACUUUGGUUAGAUCCGACGGGCAGGAAGAGAUAAUCUUAUGGAACUGCUAGAAACUCGAGCUCGCGCUCCUGGAAACUUGCCAAAGAGGCGAAGAACUCGGCAUUUCUAUGCCAAAUCCUUGGUUAGAGUGACCACCAUCGACGAGGGAAGAGAUUUACACGUUCAAAUCGUCCGCGAUGGCUACUCUCGCGAGAGAUUCCUCGCAAACUUGCUGAUCGAAAUGUAUGGCAAGUUUGGGGAUCUUGCGAACGCACAGCAAGUUUUUGACGAGAUCAAUGAUCCCAAUCUCUUCUCCUGGACGAAUCUUAUCGUUACCUACGCCCACAACGGCGAUUGCGAGACAUCCAAAGGAGUUUUCGAUAGGAUGCCCGAGAGGGACAGGGUAUCCUGGACUGCGAUGCUCAAGGCAUAUGCCGCGAAUCGCCAACUUGACGCAGCAAAGAUCCUGUUUGAAAAGAUGCCUUCUUGGGACGUCGUUUCCUCCACAGUGAUGAUCCAAGCAUAUUCUUUGGAAGGGUAUAUCAGCGAAGCAAAGAGAAUCUUUGGCUCCAUCCCCGAGGUGAAUCUAGUCCCUUGCACGAUUAUGCUGCGAGCAUAUGCCCAAAAUGGGAAUAUUCGCGAGGCAAAAGCCAUGUUUUACAAAAUGCCGGUCAAAGACAUUGUCACGUGGACUGAAUUAAUCUCAUCUUACGCUAAUUGUGGAGACAUUUCUAGCGCAACACAAACCUUUGACAGAUGCCCCGAAAGAAAUGUUAUUAUUUGGAAUGCUCUUAUCUCGGGAUAUGCCUUGAAAGAGCAUAUGAAAGAUGCCAAGGACAUCUUUGAUGCCAUGCCCGAGUGGAGCUUAGUUACGUGGACAUUAAUGUUAAAUGGCUACUUAGACUGCGAGAGUUUAGAGGAAGCCAAGUGUCUGUUUGACUCUAUGCCCGAGCAUGAUGUUAUUCUCUGCAAUUCCCUCAUAGCUGCAUAUUCAAAGGCAGGGUACCCCACAGAGGCCGAAAGAAUCUUCCAGACGAUGCCCGAGCACAGCAUCCUCUCCUGGACCGCCAUGAUGGCCGCCUUCGGGCAAAGUCAGCUCGUCCGCCUCGCGAAGUCAACUAUAGUCAACGCUCCCGAGCGUGGCACAGUGGUGUUGACGUCCAUGGUAGGGGCAUUUGCUGGAGCUGGAUGCGUUGCCCAGGCAAGAUCAUUGUUUGACACCGUCCUAGAGCGCGACACCAUCGCCUGGAACACCAUGAUCCUGGCCUAUGCUCGCAUGGGUCUCGCAAAAGAGGCGCUGGAUCUCUUCUACGACAUGGAGAUCGAGAGUGGCGAUCCCAACGCCGUCUCCUUUCUCGGCGUCUUGAUCGCGAACAACCAUCUCGGCCUCUUCAACGAGGCCUUGCGCAAUCUCGCGACAAUGAAUCGCGAUCACGGAGUCACGCCCUGCGUGGAGCACUUGUGCUGCAUCAGCGAUCUCCUGGGAAGAUCUGGGCUGAUCGAGAGCGUGGAGGAACUGAUCCAUGGAAUGCCCUGCCUCGCGGAGAAUCGCGUUGCUUGGGGAAGCCUGUUUGGCGCUUGCCAGAUCCAAUCCUCCAGUGGCGAGAUCAAAGCGCGAGCCGCCAAGCAAGUGUGGAAGUUGUACGGCAGACCACGGUGGAAGUUGUACGGUAGAGCACGCCUAGAUCGGACGGUAGAUUCGCAAGGAGUAUGCCCCGUACAGCCUAUACGGACAAAAGUUUGAAACUAACCGAACGGCCAAGUGGGAGUUUGGGACGGGGACACUUCGUAGCCGUCAAUCCCCGAGCACCAUCGAGGAUAAACUCACGUGGCACACAGCUGGCGGUCUCCGGUUGGCCGCUUCCCCGGAGGACGUUGUGCCCGGAAGUGACGAGGAGCGCCAAAGAACUGAGCCUUAUUGACGCAAAGAAAGUGGUGUCUAGGCUAAAAAGCGCGAUGGAACCGCGACGAGCACCUUAGUGCGUUCUAGGGUUAAGAUCUCUCGGUGGAAUUCUAGCCGCAUUGGAGGUGGAAAGUGCGAUUUUUUCUCGCCCAGGAGCCGCGGCAGAGGAACGACAAGACGAACAGGAUGACCCUUCAAAUGUCCCCAGUGGGGAUGCUCUGAAAGGAAAGCAGAUCCGCAAGAAAUUUGGAAGGAAAUUUUACA
RNA transcript from Selaginella moellendorffii, 2147 nucleotides. RefSeq lists it as uncharacterized. The transcript is spliced from 3 exons. The record is from RefSeq and is a predicted model, not a curated record. NCBI's taxonomy places the organism in Eukaryota, Viridiplantae, Streptophyta, Lycopodiopsida, Selaginellales, Selaginellaceae.